This 508-nucleotide ribosomal RNA is filed under the name uncultured bacterium. RNAcentral's name for it is "partial 16S ribosomal RNA". It matches the Rfam family "Bacterial small subunit ribosomal RNA", at positions 28 to 523 of the family's 1533-position model. The record is from RNAcentral.
GACGAACGCUGGCGGCGCGCUUAACACAUGCAAGUCGAGCGAGAACCAGCCUUUCGGGGCUGGGGACAGCGGCGAACGGGUGAGUAACACGUGAGUAAUCUGCCCUCGGCACCGGGAUAGCCCGGGGAAACCCGGAUUAAUACCGGAUGGCCUCCCGAGCUCUCGGGCUCGUGAGAAAAGGUAGCUUCGGCCUCCGGCCGAGGAGGAGCUCGCGGCGGAUUAGCUUGUUGGCGGGGUAACGGCCCACCAAGGCGACGAUCCGUAGCUGGUCUGAGAGGAUGAUCAGCCACACUGGGACUGAGACACGGCCCAGACUCCUACGGGAGGCAGCAGUGGGGAAUCUUGCGCAAUGGGCGAAAGCCUGACGCAGCGACGCCGCGUGGGGGAAGAAGGCCUUCGGGUUGUAAACCUCUUUCAGGAGGGACGAAGCCACUCGGGUUAAUAGCCCAGAGGGUGACGGUACCUCCAGAAGAAGCCCCGGCUAACUACGUGCCAGCCGCCGCAGUAA